AAGAGUUGCGAACGGGUGAGUAACGCGUAGGUAACCUGCCUCUUAGCGGGGGAUAACUAUUGGAAACGAUAGCUAAUACCGCAUAAAAGUCGACAUUGCAUGAUGUUGACUUGAAAGGUGCAACUGCAUCACUAAGAGAUGGACCUGCGUUGUAUUAGCUAGUUGGUGAGGUAACGGCUCACCAAGGCGACGAUACAUAGCCGACCUGAGAGGGUGAUCGGCCACGCUGGGACUGAGACACGGCCCAGACUCCUACGGGAGGCAGCAGUAGGGAAUCUUCGGCAAUGGGGGCAACCCUGAUCGAGCAACGCCGCGUGAGUGAAGAAGGUUUUCGGAUCGUAAAGCUCUGUUGUAAGAGAAGAACGAGUGUGAGAGUGGAAAGUUCACGCUGUGACGGUAUCUUACCAGAAAGGGACGGCUAACUACGUGCCAGCAGCCGCGGUAAUACGUAGGUCCCGAGCGUUAUCCGGAUUUAUUGGGCGUAAAGCGAGCGCAGGCGGUUAGAUAAGUCUGAAGUUAAAGGCUGUGGCUUAACCAUAGUACGCUUUGGAAACUGUUUAACUUGAGUGCAGAAGGGGAGAGUGGAAUUCCAUGUGUAGCGGUGAAAUGCGUAGAU
This 616-nucleotide ribosomal RNA is filed under the name uncultured Bacilli bacterium. RNAcentral's name for it is "bacterial SSU rRNA". It matches the Rfam family "Bacterial small subunit ribosomal RNA", at positions 91 to 695 of the family's 1533-position model. The record is from RNAcentral. Lineage: Bacteria; Bacillati; Bacillota; Bacilli.